This 670-nucleotide ribosomal RNA is filed under the name Apophysomyces elegans. RNAcentral describes it as "eukaryotic LSU rRNA". It matches the Rfam family "Eukaryotic large subunit ribosomal RNA", at positions 80 to 638 of the family's 3401-position model. Lineage: Eukaryota; Fungi; Mucoromycota; Mucoromycetes; Mucorales; Mucoraceae. The record is from RNAcentral.
UCAGUAACGGCGAGUGAACAGGGAACAAGCUCAAAGUUGGAAUCUAUCUGGCUUAGCCAGAUCGAAUUGUAAACUUUAGAGUCGUUGUCCAGACCAGCCGAGUAAAUAAGUUCCUUGGAAUAGGACAUCAUGGAGGGUGAGAAUCCCGUCUUUGGCUUGAGCAUUGGUCUUUUGUGAUGCGACUUCAACGAGUCAGGUUGUUUGGGAAUGCAGCCUUAAUUGGGUGGUAAAUCUCACCUAAAGCUAAAUAUUGGCGAGAGACCGAUAGCGAACAAGUACCGUGAGGGAAAGAUGAAAAGAACUUUGAAAAGAGAGUUAAACAGUAUGUGAAAUUGCUAAAAGGGAACCGUUUGAAGUCAGUCUGGCUGGUCUGCAAUCAGCUUCAACUUUGGUUGGAGUGCACUUGUAGGCCAUUUUGCCUGCCAACAACAGUUUGUUCUGCAGCAAAAAGGUGUUGAGAAUGUAGCUUUCUCUUUGGAGAAAGUGUUAUAGCUCUUCGCGAAAUACUGUGGUUCAGACUGAGGCUUGCAGUGAAUGCUAUUUUGGCUUUGGGGAUGGAUUGCUCAGUGCUUUGCUUGGUUAGUUUUCGGCCGUCAAACGUCGUGCUGGCUAAAUAAAGUCUGACUCGGUUCAUUCACUUUUAAUUCACUUUGGUUGUUGGCUUAAUGAC